This 497-nucleotide ribosomal RNA is filed under the name uncultured bacterium. RNAcentral describes it as "partial 16S ribosomal RNA". It matches the Rfam family "Bacterial small subunit ribosomal RNA", at positions 28 to 507 of the family's 1533-position model. The record is from RNAcentral.
GACGAACGCUGGCGGCGUGCCUAAUACAUGCAAGUUGAGCGCUGAAGGUUGGUACUUGUACCAACUGGAUGAGCAGCGAACGGGUGAGUAACGCGUGGGGAAUCUGCCUUUGAGCGGGGGACAACAUUUGGAAACGAAUGCUAAUACCGCAUAAAAACUUUAAACACAAGUUUUAAGUUUGAAAGAUGCAAUUGCAUCACUCAAAGAUGAUCCCGCGUUGUAUUAGCUAGUUGGUGAGGUAAAGGCUCACCAAGGCGAUGAUACAUAGCCGACCUGAGAGGGUGAUCGGACAAAUUGGGACUGAGACACGGCCCAAGCGCCUACGGGAGGCAGCAGUAGGGAAUCUUCGGCAAUGGACGAAAGUCUGACCGAGCAACGCCGCGUGAGUGAAGAAGGUUUUCGGAUCGUAAAACUCUGUUGGUAGAGAAGAACGUUGGUGAGAGUGGAAAGCUCAUCAAGUGACGGUAACUACCCAGAAAGGGACGGCUAACUACGUG